GCCUUAGCAAGAGGCCGGAAACAUAGUAGCACUCCAAACUCCAGUAACGUUGGAUAAUGAACUGACUGAAUAAGCAAAUUUACCAAGGUAGAUCCAAGAGCUCAUGCAGAAACAUACUGUCACAAGUUCUACAGCUUCGAGGAAAUGAAUUCUGCCAGCAACCUGAAGGAGAUUGGAAACCUCUGAUGAGAAUGCAGCCCACCAAUGUCAUGAUUGCAGCCUGUGAGACUCUGAGCAAAGGACCCAUCUAAGCCAUCUCCAGACUCCUGACCCACAGAAACUGUCAGAUAAUAAAUAUGUGUUGUUGUAAGCCA
Sapajus apella (tufted capuchin) is the source of this 314-nucleotide long non-coding RNA. RefSeq lists it as uncharacterized. NCBI's taxonomy places the organism in Eukaryota, Metazoa, Chordata, Mammalia, Primates, Cebidae. The transcript is spliced from 2 exons. The record is from RefSeq and is a predicted model, not a curated record.